Molecule: transfer RNA, 74 nt
Filed under: Bacillota bacterium
Lineage: Bacteria; Bacillati; Bacillota
Description: Firmicutes bacterium (anaerobic digester metagenome) tRNA-Gln
Rfam family: tRNA
About the family: Transfer RNA (tRNA) molecules are approximately 80 nucleotides in length. Their secondary structure includes four short double-helical elements and three loops (D, anti-codon, and T loops).
Source: RNAcentral
UGGAGGAUCGUCUAGUGGUAGGACAGCGGGUUCUGGCCCCGCCAGCGAGGGUUCGAAUCCUUCUCCUCCAGCCA